Meleagris gallopavo (turkey) is the source of this 3685-nucleotide non-coding RNA. NCBI's taxonomy places the organism in Eukaryota, Metazoa, Chordata, Aves, Galliformes, Phasianidae. The record is from RefSeq and is a predicted model, not a curated record.
GACUGUUUGACUGUUCAGAGGAAACAGAAGAUAUCAAACAUCAAGUAAACAUUCAAAAAAAUAGAGAAAAAAUAGAGGAAAAUCUACUGACAGGGAAUUGGAAGAAAAAAGUGUGUCUGUAAAUUAGAAAGAAAAAAGAAGGAUGUUGCUGUAAUGGAGUUCACAUUUUUUUGUUAAGGAUAACCUGCAACCAAUUUUUAAAACAGACAGCAGUAUUUGAUUUACUGCCCUAACCAGUAGUAGUGUAAGUGAAAAGACGGAAAGAAAUUCAAGAAAUAAUUGGCUAAGGGCCAGCAGUGUAUUUUGAGAUCUGUGCAGCCAGGCUUGACAGCUUCCAUUCUGUUUAAAUUUUUAAACUAAAAAAUCUAGAUUAAGUUAAUUCUUGCUGUUUGCUCCUGCAGUUGAGACACAUGCUAUAUAUACUGCAUAUCUGCUUUGUCGCAGUACACUAUAGACAGAGCACUUGUGAGAGUACUGGUGGAACUGGAAAUCUCAAUUUAAAAAAGGAAAAAAAAGACGAAGGAGGCGUUGCACACAUUGUCAGGCCCUUAAUAUGACUUCAGUACUGUAUGCAGAAAAUGUUGUCAUUUGCAGGGUUGCUAAGCAUAAAUGAGUAUAUUCAGGAUUCAGACCAAUAUGCAGUAAUUACCAUGGUGAUACAAAUAUAGCUGUGCAAAUACUGAGAAUGCCACUCAUUGCUGUUUGGUUUUAGUGUUUUUGUUACUGUUGUUGUUUGUUUGUUUUUUCCUUCCUGGUUCAUUUUUCAAAUCUGUCCUGGAGAUCUCAGAUCACAUUCUAUAGCCAGGGAUCCCAUGGGGACUGAAAAUGGGGAAAAUGUAUUUUCCAGAGAAAACUAGUCCUCUUCACUCUGUGGAAAAUAUGCCUGCUAUUAUAUCACAACAAAUCUUUGUAAUCAAUUUCUGUUGUUUCCCAUAAGACAUGACUAAAAAAGGUUUAUUUCACUUCAUAGAAAUACACUCAAAACAAAUCAGCAUUGUAAACACAUUUGAAUAUUUUUGACCAUGAAUGGUAAAUACAGAAGGGCAGUACCUGAUGGAAAAGUUUCUUAUGUAUGCUGACUAUGUUAGUGAUACAAACCUUGUUGAAUAAUAUUGCUUUACUUGUUGACUCCAAGCAGAAUCCCUGUAAGCUGAGACUGGUAUUGUGAAACCGUACAGACCCACACUUAAGAUUUUACUAUUAAGAAGAGGAGCUUGUGUAUUUAGUCUGAAGAGAAGACAAAUGUUACAGAGGCACUGCAGUAAAGGUGUAAUCAGGUUAAAGGACUUUGCUGUGGCCAACUGAUGGGAACUGAAAUUGCAUUUUCAAAUGGGUCUCUUGGCUUCUUAGGAAUUUAGACAAGAAUAAUUGGCGAAAUGAAGAUGGAUACACCGAUUCAUAGCUGAGCUGACUGGGCAGGAUUUCACCCUCCUAAGGGUCAGUGUUGAACUAACUUAUGAUAUUGCCAAAAAGAAAAGAGAAGCAGGAGAUCUUAGUUAUUGUACCGGCUUUCCUUGAGCAGUUACAAUGUAAUAGUUACAAUCAUGACCUCUUUCAGUUCUCGGGAUUUUAGAGCGUUUUUGAUUCCCAGCUUCCUAAGACUUGUGGGGAUGAGUUCAUCGGAAAAUGAGGACUGCCGCUGCCCAGGCUGGACCAGUAGUUCACAGAAAGAGCUUUAAAAUCUAGCAUUUUGUUGUAGCUAACAUGUCUGUGUUUAAAAAGGGGGGUGAGUGAGAGUGUAAUGAAGAGCAUUUUAUUUCAAAAAAUGUAUUGUGCUUAUUUCAGUAUAGAGAAGUGACCGAGUAAAAUAUUUUGUAAAAAUGAAGUCAUUAGAUUCUAGAGAUAGUAAACAGCAUUUAACCUGAAUUAUUUUGUUUAUCUCCGUAAUCUAAUACAAAGUCUACUGUACUGCAAAAUUCUCCAGCAUGACUGCUAUUUGUUAAAUCCUGUCAGUGUCCUUGCAGAAGGGACAUUUAAGAGGGUCUGAUCUUGUAAACUUCUGCCAGCUUGUGUGCUGCUGCUCAUCUCAGUGGAGGAACUCAUGCAUGAAAAGUCAAUUACACAUAAUUGUCAGCAGAGCUGUGCAUAAACUGCUGUAGUCUUGGAGUUUUGUUGGGGUAGGUGUUGAUGUCACUGGGAUUGUGAAAGAGAUGUUCAGGGGUUUUCUUUAAAAAUUGGGAGAAAAAUAAAUCUCUCUUGCUCAGUUUAAAAGAAAAGAAGUAAGUAUUAUCUUUUGGAGAAUGUUUUUUUAAUGUUAUUUAAGACAGAGCUAUGAAGGGUAAAAUUUGCCAGCUGAAAAUAUGUACCCCUUGAGAAGUCAUAGCUAUUUGUUUGUUGUCAUAGCAGUCUUUAUUUUGUAGACUUGCAAAAGCAGUUAGACUAAUGAUGUAAAUCAGUCAGUUGUUUUCAUUUGUAAAAAGUGGGAGUUUGGAUAGACACUUGUCUUUAACCACUUGUCUUGGACACUUGGAAAAAAUGGUGAAACUAACUUACUUUAAAUCUAUUAGAGUCUGAGAACUUUAAUGCCAAGUCUUUUGCUGGAGGGAAUUCUUACUGCUAAGUUAUGAACACCUGAGAAUGGAUGUUCGUAAGUGAAACAUCAGAUCUAGUUCAGCCACAGCAGCACAUUCAUGUCUGAAAAGAGAUUGAUUUCACUAGAUGGAAAGUGGAAUGGACACUUGCCUUUCCUUAAUAGAGAGAUCUGCACUAUGCAAGUAUUGUGUCUGUAAUGUGAAUUGGGGUUUUUUUUUCAGUGUUCAGAUACAUUUAUGACUUAAAUUAGGUUUAAAUGAGCGUUACCAGGCAGUUUCGUAACUUAAACAUCGGAUUGCGUUGUUUAAACCAACAACUUCAUCCUGUCACUGUGUACAACAUUUUAGUUCCAUCAACUGUUUUCACUAGUAGAUAAGAUAAUGAAUGACUGCUGUAGCGCUGCACUGAACUUAGUGGUUAUCCACCCAUUAGUUAACAAAUAUUGCUCAAUCGCUGCUCAGACAACCCACUACUCCCUGGCAUUAUCUGAUUAUUUUAACUCUUUUCACAUUCAUACAUCAUUUCAGUGAUUAAGUGCCAGUCUCGCACUCCUUACAUAAGUAAAUAUUCCAUUGGAGUUAGCAGGAGCUUUCUUCCCAGUAGGAGCAUGGAAUGAGGCCACAGGUCAGCCUCCUUAGGAUUGUUCAUCCUUGAGAUGAAUGUUUUUCUCCUUCCCUCCUUUUCUGAAGAGAGAGAAGUUAAAUAGCCUUACUGAUGUACAAAUACCUGAAUGCUGUUUUUGCUGAGGUUGGGUUCCCCCACAGCAGUUGCAGUGACUUGAUACCUGCCUGCCAAGGAUCGGGCUGCCUGUAGCAGAUUGUCCAGGUUCUUGUGAAAUAUCUGAGCUGCAUGUGGCAUAAGCUGUUUGGAAGGGAGUCCAGAACUGUGGAAUUCAGGAUAGCCUGUGCUUUGCUGGGUCAUUGUCUUGCAUGAAAAAUAGUGGAAACAAGUGGCAGUAAAUUGAGUAGUUUCUCUACGUUUAUACUAUACUAUACUAUACUAGUAGUUUCUAUACAUAUUUAUAAAAAUAAGUAGCUUCAGAGUGUGGCUUCUUGUCUCUCUUUUCUGCAACAGCUUUUACCCUCUUCUUCCCAGUCAAUUGUAAAACACUGACAGUUUUUGAAAAAAUGAAGGUUGUAAUAAAAGAUUAAUA